Molecule: non-coding RNA, 619 nt
Organism: Megalopta genalis
Lineage: Eukaryota; Metazoa; Arthropoda; Insecta; Hymenoptera; Halictidae
Source: RefSeq, a predicted model, not a curated record
GUUUAUAUUUAAUAUAGUAGUAUUUAAUGUAGUAUAAGCGCUCAUCUAAUCGGAAAAGUUAACAGAAGUUUUUCUGCACAGUAGCAGAAAUAUUAGGGAGCGAGGUAAAGAUGGAAGAUUCGAUCCGGCCUGCCUGAACCCUCGCGCCGUAAUCCAGCGCGUCUUUCCGGCCUUCUAUCGACAACUUUAACAUUAAUUAUCUCAAAAACUAUAAGUCGUCUGCCCCCGAAACCGGAUAUCAUUGGAUUCAGUUUUACAAGCUCUAUCGCUAAGACGUUAAAGUACCUAGUUGAAGGUUUCCGGUGCAACGCUGUUCCGGUAUACAGUAAAUUCUCGCCAAUUGUUAUUCGGCUUGUGAACAAAAAUGGCAAUUUGGAAAGAGGAAAUAUGACUAUCGUUUAGUAUUUUAAGUAAAUUCUCAAAAGAGCUUCUACUAUUCGCACAUUUAUCGAUCUCCCGUUACCCACGAGUUGCAUCGUCGAACGAAAUAAGUGCUUGAUCGACACACCAUCCACGGUAUUGCACAGAACGGUAUAGCUUGCGGAUCGUUCGCGUAUGUACAUCUGAUCAUUGCCGGCCCCCUAAUACUCGAUGUGCUGGUACCGAUGAACGAGCCCCG